RNAcentral lists this long non-coding RNA (545 nucleotides) under Mytilus galloprovincialis (Mediterranean mussel). The record is from RNAcentral. Lineage: Eukaryota; Metazoa; Mollusca; Bivalvia; Mytilida; Mytilidae.
AGGAUUUUGAAAUUUUGAAUUUAAGUUCCCCUGAAUUUGGCAAUGUUAGCAGUGGAACAUGUAAAGUCUUAACCAUAUGUGUAGCUGGAGAAGAAGAGACCGGAGACCUCAAGGCUUCCUUAAAUUCGAAAAGGAAUAGUCUUGGGUUAAAUCCUUAUUAUGAGGAGAAGAUCUAUACAGCAGGCUCUUUUGAAAGCUUUUGCAAUCUUUUUUAUACAAGUUUGAAUUUCUUUUGCAAAUAUGUAAGACUCAACUAAAAAAAAUGUGUAUUGUUAUCUGAUUAAUGUCAUUAAUGUGAUUAAUGACACUGAAGGAUGUUAUUUGAUAGAUUUACAAUAUUUUGUUGAUUUGCGGAUUCAGUGGGCCAAAAAGUUGCUUCUUAAUAACUUAUUAUAUACAGAGUUUUCAACAAUGCUGUUCUUUCUCUUAUUUCGAUCAACUGUAUUCACAAAUUGUAAGUGAGUAAGUAAGUAAAUGAUUAACUAUAGUGCCAUGUGUAGUAUAAAUACUUUUGCUUAUUAUUAAUACAAGAAGAUUAUUUUGUA